UGGGGAAUUUUACGCAAUGGGCGAAAGCCUGACACAGCGACACCGCGUGAGCGAAGAAGCCCCUUGGGGUGUAAAGCUCUGUCAGCUGGAACGAAAACAAUGACGGUACCAGCAAAGGAAGCAUCGGCUAACUACGUGCCAGCAGCCGCGGUAAGACGUAGGAUGCAAGCGUUGUCCGGAUUUAUUGGGCGUAAAGAGUUCGUAGGCGGUUCGUUAAGUCUGAUGUUAAAGAUCGGGGCUCAACCCCGGGAGUGCAUUGGAUACUGGCAAACUGGAGUGCGGUAGAGGUAAGUGGAAUUCCCAGUGUAGCGGUGAAAUGCGUAGAUAUUGGGAAGAACACCAGUGGCGUAGGCGACUUACUGGGCCGUAACUGACGCUGAGGAACGAAAGCCAGGGUAGCGAAUGGGAUUAGAUACCCCCGUAGUCC
RNAcentral lists this ribosomal RNA (427 nucleotides) under uncultured bacterium. RNAcentral describes it as "bacterial SSU rRNA". It matches the Rfam family "Bacterial small subunit ribosomal RNA", at positions 355 to 796 of the family's 1533-position model. The record is from RNAcentral.